GUCCACGCCCUAAACGAUGUCAACUAGGUGUUGGGGAAGGAGACUUUCUUAGUACCGCAGCUAACGCGUGAAGUUGACCGCCUGGGGAGUACGGUCGCAAGAUUAAAACUCAAAGGAAUUGACGGGGACCCGCACAAGCGGUGGAUGAUGUGGAUUAAUUCGAUGCAACGCGAAAAACCUUACCUACCCUUGACAUGCCAGGAAUCCUGCAGAGAUGUGGGAGUGCUCGAAAGAGAAUCAGAACACAGGUGCUGCAUGGCCGUCGU
This 266-nucleotide ribosomal RNA is filed under the name uncultured bacterium. RNAcentral's name for it is "partial 16S ribosomal RNA". It matches the Rfam family "Bacterial small subunit ribosomal RNA", at positions 793 to 1055 of the family's 1533-position model. The record is from RNAcentral.